This 1858-nucleotide small RNA is filed under the name Pan troglodytes (chimpanzee). RNAcentral's name for it is "retained intron". The record is from RNAcentral. Lineage: Eukaryota; Metazoa; Chordata; Mammalia; Primates; Hominidae.
GGGGCCACGGGCGUCGGGAAGACGCUGCUGGUGAAACGGCUGCAGGAGGUGAGCUCCCGGGAUGGGAAAGGCGACCUGGGGGAGCCGCCCCCGACACGGCCCACGGUGGGCACCAAUCUUACUGACAUCGUGGCACAGAGAAAGAUCACCAUCCGGGAGCUUGGGGGGUGCAUGGGCCCCAUCUGGUCCAGUUACUAUGGAAACUGCCGUUCUCUCCUGGUGGGUUGUAAUCCUAUAUGGGCUUCCUUUAGGGAAGUGUGUCUACAUUUCUGUGACGUCCAGUCCCCAACCUUGCUGUGUGUAGAAAGGGGUUUGGGUUAUUUAGUGACUAUACUACUCAUGGAAAUAGGUCUUAGCUAGUGUUGCUUCCUGCUGGGCACCCCGUCUGGUUUCUGGUGCUUGCGCUCCCAGGCCCCCGGUAGGAGCUCACAGAGGGCUUGCUGAGGGCAGGGCUGCUGCUCUGCAGAGAACAGACUUAGCCCUCUGUGUCACUCCCCGGUACGUCUGUGUUUAUGUUGGACUUAUACGUACCUCUGGUUGGUCUCAUCUUGAUAAGGCCUGUGCCGCGGAUUCCAGUAUGGAGAACUGAUGGCCACAUGAGGACAGAGACGAGUGACACCAGGUCGUCUUCAUAAAACUCGAUUCCCUCUGCUUCUGCUUGUUCCCAAAGCUUUGUUUAAAGCUACUUUGGGCUGGGCGCGGUGGCUUACUCCUGUAAUCCCAGCACUUUAGGAAGCUGAGGUGGGCGAAAAUCACGAGGUCAGGAGAUGGAGACCAUCCUGACUAACAUGGUGAAACCCCGUCUCUACUAAAAGUACAAAAAAUUAGCCAGGCGUGGUGGCGGGUGUCUGUAGUCCCAGUUACUUGGGAGGCUGAGGCAGGAGAAUCACUUGAACCCUGAACCCUGGAGGCGGAGUUUCAGUGAGCCGAGAUCGUGCCACUGCACUCGGAGCGAGACUCCGUCUCAAAAAAUAAAUUAAUUAAUUAAAAAAUGCAGUUUUGCUCUCCCAGUGCCAGGCCUGUGAGGCCCAGGGGAGGAAGUUUGGCAGCGGGGCAUUGCUGCUGUCUUUUUCUUUUUCCCCAGUUUGUGAUGGACGCCUCUGACCCCACCCAGCUCUCUGCAUCCUGUGUGCAACUCUUAGGUCUCCUUUCUGCAGAACAACUUGCAGAAGCAUCGGUGCUGAUACUCUUCAAUAAAAUCGACCUACCCUGUUACAUGUCCACGGAGGAGAUGAAGUCAUUAAUCAGGCUUCCAGACAUCAUUGCUUGUGCCAAGCAGAACAUCACCACGGCAGAAAUCAGCGCCCGUGAAGGCACUGGCUUAGCAGGGGUGCUGGCCUGGCUCCAGGCCACCCACAGAGCCAACGAUUGACUGCACGGCAGAGGCGCGGCUGGCCUGAGCUGGGGAGAGGUGGCAGAGGGCAGUAUGGCUUUGCUGCCAAUAGUUUCUUCUCACAGGGGCAGAAUAACCCAAAGUAACCCUACAUGAUGGGGCUCUGCGCUGAGAUGCAAUGAUGCGUAAACUGAGGCAUGUGGAGAUGGAAGUUGACAUCUGGCCUCUGAAAAAAGUGUCCCCAGGGGCCAGGCAUGGUGGCUCACACCCGUAAUCCCAGCACUUUGAGAGGCCGAGGCGGGCGUAUCACCUGAGGUCGGGAGUUCGAGACUGGCCUGACCAACAUGGAGAAACCCUGUCUCUACUAAAAAUACAAAAUUAGCUGGGUGUGGUGGUGCAUGGCUGUAAUCCUAGCUACUUGGGAGGCUGAGGCAGGAGAAUCCCUUGAACCUGGGAGGUGGAGGUUGCAGUGAGUCGAGAUCAUGCCAUUGCACUCCACCUGGGCAACAAGAGUGAAACUCCGUC